Molecule: ribosomal RNA, 1013 nt
Filed under: uncultured bacterium
Lineage: Bacteria
Description: bacterial SSU rRNA
Rfam family: Bacterial small subunit ribosomal RNA
Source: RNAcentral
GGGGAAUAUUGCACAAUGGGCGCAAGCCUGAUGCAGCGACGCCGCGUGCGGGAUGACGGCCUUCGGGUUGUAAACCGCUUUUGACUGGGAGCAAGCCCUUCGGGGUGAGUGUACCUUUCGAAUAAGCACCGGCUAACUACGUGCCAGCAGCCGCGGUAAUACGUAGGGUGCAAGCGUUAUCCGGAAUUAUUGGGCGUAAAGGGCUCGUAGGCGGUUCGUCGCGUCCGGUGUGAAAGUCCAUCGCUUAACGGUGGAUCCGCGCCGGGUACGGGCGGGCUUGAGUGCGGUAGGGGAGACUGGAAUUCCCGGUGUAACGGUGGAAUGUGUAGAUAUCGGGAAGAACACCAAUGGCGAAGGCAGGUCUCUGGGCCGUCACUGACGCUGAGGAGCGAAAGCGUGGGGAGCGAACAGGAUUAGAUACCCUGGUAGUCCACGCCGUAAACGGUGGAUGCUGGAUGUGGGGACCAUUCCACGGUCUCCGUGUCGGAGCCAACGCGUUAAGCAUCCCGCCUGGGGAGUACGGCCGCAAGGCUAAAACUCAAAGAAAUUGACGGGGGCCCGCACAAGCGGCGGAGCAUGCGGAUUAAUUCGAUGCAACGCGAAGAACCUUACCUGGGCUUGACAUGUUCCCGACAGCCCCAGAGAUGGGGCCUCCCUUCGGGGCGGGUUCACAGGUGGUGCAUGGUCGUCGUCAGCUCGUGUCGUGAGAUGUUGGGUUAAGUCCCGCAACGAGCGCAACCCUCGCCCUGUGUUGCCAGCACGUCGUGGUGGGAACUCACGGGGGACCGCCGGGGUCAACUCGGAGGAAGGUGGGGAUGACGUCAGAUCAUCAUGCCCCUUACGUCCAGGGCUUCACGCAUGCUACAAUGGCCGGUACAACGGGAUGCGACCUCGUGAGGGGGAGCGGAUCCCUUAAAACCGGUCUCAGUUCGGAUUGUAGUCUGCAACUCGACUACAUGAAGCUGGAAUCGCUAGUAAUCGCAGAUCAGAAUGCUGCGGUGAAUACGUUCCCG